GGAGAGAUGCCGGAGCGGAUAAACGGGACAGUUUCGAAAACUGUUAGGAAAUAAAAAUUUUCUUCAAGGGUUCGAAUCCCUUUCUCUCCU
RNAcentral lists this transfer RNA (90 nucleotides) under Blochmannia endosymbiont of Colobopsis nipponica. RNAcentral's name for it is "tRNA-Ser". It matches the Rfam family "tRNA". From Rfam's summary of the family: Transfer RNA (tRNA) molecules are approximately 80 nucleotides in length. Their secondary structure includes four short double-helical elements and three loops (D, anti-codon, and T loops). The record is from RNAcentral. Lineage: Bacteria; Pseudomonadati; Pseudomonadota; Gammaproteobacteria; Enterobacterales; Enterobacteriaceae.